UCUACGUUUCUGUGCACAAUGUCCAACAUACUCAUACUCCUUCUUCUGAUGUCUUUCAGCUCAUGUUCUGACUCUCAGAAUGUUGUGGCUCAGGAGUCUGCAGUAUCAGUUCUCCCUGGUGGAAGUGUCGGUCUUUCCUGUAGUUGGACAGGAGGCUCGGUAACUGGCAAUAACCACCCAUGCUGGGUACACCAGACACCUGGCAGUACCCCUAAGCUUGCAGUUGGAAGUUAUGGUACUGGCAAUCAGAACUAUAGACCCUCAUGGACCCCAGAACGAUUCACUGGCUCAAUCUCUGGUGGAAAAGCCAUUCUCUCUAUUAACAGAGCCCAGGCAGAGGAUGAUGGUGUAUAUUACUGUGCUCUGUGGAUUAGUAGUGCUCCCACAGUGUUACAACUUAUUGCACAACAGAGACAUUAACUUCCUUUUUUCUUUUUCAUAGAGACUUUCUGUAGAAGCCAAGUAAGACAACUCAAGAUGUUCUAGCAGAAACACCUGAAAAUAAUUUCGUUUGGGGCUAUUCCAGUAUUGCCUCCUCCCCAAAAACGGUGCUGAUAUAUAGACAAAUUUAUAUAAAUAUAUGCACAUAUUUAAAACUCCAUGCUAACCCUAUAAUACAAUAAUCCACCACAACCAUAAAGAUAGAAAUACAGAGAUGUGGGUUACUCACCUGAAACAGAAUGCUCCCAGUUAAAAAAAAGUAAAAAAAUCUAAAGGAAGUCCCACACCAGAGAGGCCAAUCAGAAAGGGCUAUCUAAACGUGGCCAUACACAGCUGAUUCUAGCUGCUGAUAUCAGUCCCAUAGACUGAUUCGGCAGCUAAUCAGCCCAUGUAGGGGCACUAACAACGGCCUGAAAUCAGCCAGAAAUCAGCCAGGGUUUAAGGGAGGCUCAAUAGAAAA
Non-coding RNA from Xenopus tropicalis (tropical clawed frog), 901 nucleotides. NCBI's taxonomy places the organism in Eukaryota, Metazoa, Chordata, Amphibia, Anura, Pipidae. The record is from the annotation of a RefSeq genome assembly.